CAGUGAGUCCUCUCCCCCCUGGGGACCCUGGGGAGUACCAGGAGGUCUCCCACGUGGGAGACCAUACAUUCCUGUUUAAUAUUUAAACAUCAGUGUUCUCA
This is a non-coding RNA of Dipodomys ordii (Ord's kangaroo rat), 101 nucleotides long. Lineage: Eukaryota; Metazoa; Chordata; Mammalia; Rodentia; Heteromyidae. The record is from Rfam.